UCCCCGUUACCGGGGCAGUCUAGCUAGAGAAAUUCAACUAACUACAAGGGUUGCGCUCGUUACUGGACUUAACCAUACAUCUCACGACACGAGCUGACGACGGCCAUGCAUCACCUGUCACUGCGGCCCGAAGGCACAGUCGCCUUUCGGCGACCUUGGCAGGAUGUCAAGCCUUGGUAAGGUUCUUCGCUUACUAUCGAAUUAAACAACACACUCCACCGCUUGUGCGGGUCCCCGUCAAUUCCUUUAUGUUUUAAGCUUGCGCUCGUACUCCACAGGCGGGAUGCUUAACGCGUUAGCUUCGCUACUACCAGGAUCGAUACUGAUAACAGCUAGCAUCCAUCGUUUACGGCGUGGACUAC
Molecule: unclassified non-coding RNA, 362 nt
Filed under: uncultured bacterium
Lineage: Bacteria
Description: contains 16S-23S intergenic spacer region
Source: RNAcentral